UGUAUUUCCAGUCAUGGAUAUGAU
RNAcentral lists this non-coding RNA (24 nucleotides) under Mus musculus (house mouse). Lineage: Eukaryota; Metazoa; Chordata; Mammalia; Rodentia; Muridae. The record is from RNAcentral.